UACGUAGGGUGCGAGCGUUGCCCGGAUUUAUUGGGCGUAAAGGGCGCGUAGGCGGUCACGCACGUCCGUUGUAAAAUCGCUCGGCUCAACUGGGCGGGGUCAGCGGAUACGGCGUGGCUGGAGCAAGCUAGGGGGCAAUGGAAUUCCCGGUGUAGUGGUGGAAUGCGUAGAUAUCGGGAGGAACACCAGUGGCGAAGGCGGUUGCCUGGAGCUUUGCUGACGCUGAUGCGCGAAAGCGUGGGGAGCAAACAGG
RNAcentral lists this ribosomal RNA (253 nucleotides) under uncultured bacterium. RNAcentral describes it as "partial 16S ribosomal RNA". It matches the Rfam family "Bacterial small subunit ribosomal RNA", at positions 524 to 776 of the family's 1533-position model. The record is from RNAcentral.